This 15211-nucleotide long non-coding RNA is filed under the name Lathyrus oleraceus (garden pea). Its description in RNAcentral is "Pisum sativum (pea) long non-coding RNA (PSAT_LNC039194)". Lineage: Eukaryota; Viridiplantae; Streptophyta; Magnoliopsida; Fabales; Fabaceae. The record is from RNAcentral.
UUUUUUUUGUGUGCUUACACAUAGAAAAAUAUGAUUGUGUUUGUGAAUUCUAGAGACAAACUUCUUGUGAAGAAAAAUAAUAUGUUAGGGUCCAAGGGAAUUUUGGUUGGGUUGCAUGAAGGUCGUUGAGAAUGAAACUUUGGAGUUUCUAGCUCCUUCAUUAGUUCAAAGUCUCGGACAAGGGAAUUUUCAUAGGAUUGCAUGGAAAUCGCUGCAGAUAAAUUCUUUAAGUGUUUUGGUUCUCAAAAGGUGGUUCGCUCAAGAUUGAGGAAACAUCUUGAAGGAUUUGUAGUUUAGUAUGUUAAUUACAAUAGAAGGAACGUUAAGAUUCAAAUAUGUAUUUGUUAGUAGUUGACUUUAAGUUUUCAGUUUAUUAAUGAUUAUAUGGUGUGUUAAAAGACACUUGUAAUUAUUUCAAAUUAGUGGAAGACCAAUAAAUUUUUAAUGGUUCACCAUUGGAUACUAGACUAAGUGCAAGCGAGGAUGCUGCUCACAAUCUUUAUAAAUACUGGUGUACAAUUCUCUCUAUCAUUCUCUUCUAAUUUAUGUACAAUUUUCAUAUUCUAGCAUUGUAUAACUUUAUGGCUUUAUCACUUUCUAGAAUUAUACGUUGUUUGGUCUAUUGUUCAUAAUUUUGUAAUGUUUAAGCUUAUGUCUGUGUUAAAUCUUGUUUGCUAAACACUGUCUUUGUCUUUGGCGAUUAUAUUUGUACAAACAUGUAAUAUUAGAUUCUUUAUUCAAUUAGUAAAUAUUUAUUUAAACAUCUCGUUGCAAAUUUUAUUUUAUUAAGCACCUGACUUUUUUAUCGGUUCUACAUAAAACCUCCAAUGACAGCUCCAACAAAUUUAUUAAAUUUGUAGUUUAGUUCAAGUGAUUCACUAUUUUUAUAGGUAAAUUUUAUUGUUUGGACAAAGUAAUUGAAAUUUCUUUCUUCAAUGAACAAUUUAUUCAUUUUUAAAGUAAUUAAUUCAAAUUUUUUCUCAUUUUCAUUAAUUUUCUUACUCAAAUUUUAUUAUUUUUAUAUAUAUAUUAUUUUAUUUACCGUUUAUCGAAGCUAAUGUACUUGAAAGUUAUCCUUAGUUCUCAGUUUGGUUGAAUUCAUUCAAUGUUUUUUUUAAAUUGAAGAAAUUGAUUAAAAGUCAACCAUGUAUAAGAUGAAUCACAAAUUAGAAGAAUUGAAACAAUAUAUUAUAUAAGCUUGAUUCGAGUCACAAUUUUGUCUGANCUCCAAUGACAGCUCCAACAAAUUUAUUAAAUUUGUAGUUUAGUUCAAGUGAUUCACUAUUUUUAUAGGUAAAUUUUAUUGUUUGGACAAAGUAAUUGAAAUUUCUUUCUUCAAUGAACAAUUUAUUCAUUUUUAAAGUAAUUAAUUCAAAUUUUUUCUCAUUUUCAUUAAUUUUCUUACUCAAAUUUUAUUAUAUAUAUAUAUAUAUUAUUUUAUUUACCGUUUAUCGAAGCUAAUGUACUUGAAAGUUAUCCUUAGUUCUCAGUUUGGUUGAAUUCAUUCAAUGUUUUUUUUAAAUUGAAGAAAUUGAUUAAAAGUUAACCAUGUAUAAGAUGAAUCACAAAUUAGAAGAAUUGAAAAAAUAUAUUAUAUAAGCUUGAUUCGAGUCACAAUUUUAUCUGACUCAAGUCAUGAGUAAAUAGGAAAUCAGUAAUUUGGCGUUAAAUGACUUGAUUUGAUUCAAGGUUUUUCAUGACUUGAAUCAUAGGCAUCUUGACUUGAGUCAUAGUUAUGUUUAACUCAAAUCAUAAAUGUAUUCAAUCUUGACUUGAUUCAUACUUCCACCUAACUUGAAUCAGAAAUGUCAAAUCUUGAUUUUAUCAUUUCGAUUUUAGUAACUUUUUUAUUUUGGGGACCUGACUCGAAUCAUCUUGCUGAUUUUUUUACUACCUAUUUUGUACCUUAACUCUAACACAAAUAAAAAUCAAAAAAAAUUCUCUCUGGUGUGAGCUUUAGAUUAAUUCAAUUUUGAAAACAAAAACAUGCAUCUUUUAAAAAUAUUUUUUUGCGUUCGCUCACAAUCUUAAAAAACCUAAAAAAAAAAGUUUCGUAAUCACAGAAACUUUCUUUCAAAUCAACUUUGAAGAAAUACUUAUUAAUCGAGUUAAUUUUUUGAGCGCAAACAAGUUGUGUGUGAGAAUCAUUCGGAAAGCUUCAUCUUCAACAUUUAACCAAAAAUCCAUUAUUGUGGUUGCUCAAAUUUAAAAGUGAGAGUUUCAGUCAUAGCUGGUGUUGAAACAUACUCAAUUUUUGUUUUGAAACUAACAAACUAUUUUAGAUUCUUGAAAAAAUUCCUAAAAACUCUAUUGGACAUUAAAACGCAAACGUACAAGUAAGUUCAUUAAUCAUCAAAGCUUAGAAAAUUCUUUCAUAAUAAUUUACAUCUAAAAAAGAGCACAACCAACUUGGGGAUUUAAAAGACCUUCCGAGGACAAAACUCACUACAACACUAAAAGACAAAUAGAAAAUCUUGCCAGCCCCAUGUGAUAUAAAAUACAAUAGGAACAAUCUUCAGAUAUUAUACAGCAACAAGUUCCCAAGUAUAUCCUCAUGACAUCUGAGGAGUCACACUCUUCCUUUGACUUUUUCAUAAAUAUUAACAAUUGUCAAGGACAGUUUUGGUAAAAAUAUUUCAACGAUUUCAUUUCGUUUUAUAAAAGGAAGCAUCCCAGUUACUGUAAAACACAUCUUUCCAAAAUGAAUAUAUCACUAGAGAGCUCAUCAUAUUUAGUGUGUUAGUAUUUAUUUCAUAUCCUUACACCCACAUAAUUAGAAUGUAAAGUUGUUGUAAACACCUUAAAUAUCAAAGUAUAUCAUCACUAGAUAUACAUAUAAAAAAUACUCCUGUAUGCUUAUGAGAAGCUUUGUCAUUCAAAAGUGUAAGUCUAGUGAGGCUAAGAAUACAUAGACCAACACAUAUUGUAAGAAGAACCAAGUAAGGGAAAAUAUCACGAGGUGUGAGGACUGGACUAACCAAGUUGGUGAACCAGGAGAAGUUCUUGAGUUUGAUUUAUUUUUAAUCCUUGCUUUAUCUUACCUUCAUACUAUUAAUCACCUCCUAACACACACAUACUUAGUAUAUUAAAAACUCAUUCUAACUUUCCUUUUCCAUGAAAUUCAUGAGAAACUUUAUAUAUUAUUAUAACAUUAUUAAAAUUUUAGAAGGUUACAAUCCAACCCCUCUUGUUGGGACAUUCCUUUUUCAAACAACUGAAAGGUACAUUAGGGGAUUAUGAUAUUUUGGACUUUUUGUGUGUGCUUACACAUAGAAGAAUUUGAUUGUGUUUGUGAAUUCUAGAGACAAAUUUUUUGUGAAGAAAAAGAAUAUGUUAGUCUCCAAGGGAAUUUUGGUUGGGUUGCAUAAAGGUCGUUGAGAAUGAAACAUUGGAGUUUCUAGCUCCUUCAUUAGUUCAAACGGCUCGGGCAAGGGAAUUUUCGUAGGAUCGCGUGGAGAUUGCUGCAAAUAAAAUCUUGAAGUGCUUUGGUUCUCAAAAGGUGGUUGGCUCAAGAUCGAGGAAACAUCAUGAAGGAUUUGUAGUUUAGUGUGUUACUUACAAUAGAAGGAACAUUAAGAUUCACAUAUGUAAUUGAAUUUUCUUUCUUCAAUGAACAAUUUAUUUCAUUUUUAAAUUAAUUAAUUAAAUUUUUUUCUCAUAUUUCAUUAAUUUUCUUACUCAAAUUUUAUUAUUUUUAUCUAUUUUAUUUUAUUUACCAUUUAUCAAAGCUAAUGUACCUCAAAAUUGAUUUCUUGAACGCAAACAAGUUGUGUGUGACAAUCUUUCAAAAAGCUUCAUCUUUAACCUUUAGUCAAACACUAAUUAUUGUGGUUGUUCAAGUCCAAUUGAAUUAUCCCAAGUUCAAUAAGGUCAAACAAAAUUUGACAAAAAAUUUAAGUAUUUUUAGAAGUCAGAAACUAUUUUUAAUCAAUUAAAAAUACAUAAAAAUAAUCUAAUUGAAUUAAAAUCUCAAAUAAAUUAAUAAAUUGAUGAGAAUAUUUUUCAUAGAUCUAUCAUCAUUCAAAUAGGUUGGAAAAAUAUUUUUUAUUUUUUGGAUAUCAAAAACUAUUUAAAAUGAAUUAAAAAUAAGCAGACAAGAGAAAAUUCCUAAAAAAUAUCAAAUGAUAAAAUAAAAAAUAUUAAAAAUCAUUUUUAGAAACUAGAAAUUAAAAGGAGAAAAAUGCAAUUGGUCUCAUAUUUUUUGGACCAAUAAUGGAGUUAUGAAUUUUUAAAAAGAAAUGGAAUUAAAAGAAAUAAAAGAAAUUAAAAUCAGAAAUUAAAAUAAUUGGAAAAAAACUUGGAGCGUUUGAUCUGAGCUCAUUAAUUGAUCUGGCAAAUCAUGAGGCUCACACACGCGCGCCUACCAUAUUCCUUGGUCAAUGCAUCACAUGUAGCAUUAUUAUAAGUCAUAACAUGGAACAGGCGAGAUUAAAUCUGGAAAAUGAAAUGGAAGGCUCAGAUCUAAUCUGGAGAAGGGACGGUGACCUGCGCCACCGUCUUCUCCGGCCAACUCCGGCGAGGCUCAAAAUUUGCAGAGGAAAAAAUGUUAACUAAAUGCUACGAUCCAGAUACCAAUCGAAAGCCGGGGUGAUGUACAUCACCCCUGUACCAACCAAAUCCACUCUAGGUUUCUACAUUAAGAGAAAUCAGAGAUGGAAAAUCUGUGGUGUUCAAAUGAACUUAAUGGGUUUUGAAAAUUCGAAGCUCAAGAAUGUUGCCUCUAUGCAGAGGACUUCAGAUCACACAACAACAACAACAAGAAAUAACCAGUAUAUGAGUAGAUUCGAAGAAAUUAAAAUGUGAGGUAAACCUCUGAUUUGCAGAGCUUGAAGUCACAAUUCCUUGCUAUGGGUGCUUGCAGUUUGUUCUUUAGAUCAAAGAGAAGAAGGCUAAGGAACUUUAGAUCUGAGAAAACAAUUGAGGUAAUUGAAUUCUAGAUCUGAAAAUUGAGAGAAAAAUUAGUGAGUUCCUUUGGUGUGAGGGUGAGGGUUUAAUUGCACAGCAUUUAGGGUGCCUUCAGGUUGGUAAAAUGGAGAGCAUUGGCAUUGUAUUUAUAGGAGAAGCAAGGCUGAAGUGCAUGAACAUUCCCUUGCAUGAAUGGAAAGGGCCUCCAUGCAUGGGCCUGUACAGGCGCAUGGAGGGCCCAAUUCCACUUGGAUUUGGUAGCUGAGCAAUGAUAGAAGAAAACUGGACGUGCAAAUUGUGCAUAAACACCUCAUGCAAUGCAAAUUCUAUGGAUUUCCAAAAUUAUACCAUAAUGUUCAUGUCUUCGAAAAUGGCUCUUCCAAACUUGAAACACCACCUCAUGAGUAAUGGUUGGAAAGCUUUUUGAAUAAGGAUAAUUUGUUAUGUUGAUGAAAAAUUCAUUUGAGCCUUGGAAAUUGAUGAAAAGUGGUCAUGAAGUGUAGGGUCCAAAACAUGUACAUGUGAGAUCUUCAAAAUUGGCCAAAGUUCAAGCCCUUCUGUCUCAAUGAUGAAAGCUCCAAAUGACAAAAUGAUCAACAUAAAAGUUGUAUAUCUUUUCAAUAAAAUCAAUUUGGACUUAAAUUUUGCAUCAUUUGGAUUUUAGAUGAAGAAGUUAUGGGUACUUGAAGUUUGACUUUUUCACAUUUCAAUGCAUUUGGUCCAAAGUGACCUAUAAUGUUUUGCAUUAUCACAUGUAUUUCUUUUAGGAUUUUGAAAUUUUUCUCAACAUAACAUUUUAAUUAUACAUCUUAAUCUUUCCAAUUCAUUUGAUCCCACCUAAAAAUCAUGAAAAAUGAAUGAGUUAUGUUCUUGGGAAGUUGACCAAAAAUUAGGGUUUCAGUCAAAAUGACCUAUAAUGUUUUGGAAUGGAUGAUGACCCUCAAAGAUUCAAAUCAAUUUUUUAUGAACAUGAAAGUUGUUAAUAUGGUUCUUAGGAACAUAUUUUCUAUUGGGGUCAUCUCCAUUUGACAAACACAUAAAAUGUUAGGUCUCAGUGUAUUUCAAAAUAGUUAGAUGAAUUGACUGAUCAACUUCUCAAGUCCAAACCUCAUAUCUUGGUGAAUUGAUGAUUGAGGAUACUCAAAUAAGUUCAAAUAUGCAUGAAAGGAUGAAUGAAAUAACUUCUCUUCAUUGCAUUUGAUCAUGGGUUGGGGUUGCUUCAUGAGUAAGGCACAGUUGAUGAACAGAUGAAUUAGGGUUUCCUUGGGAAACAAACCUCAAACCCUUUGAUUAGAUUUUGAUCAAAAUGAUGAAUUGAGACACUUGGGAGGCAUAUUUGAUGUAUGAGAGCUUUGGGAACCAUUGCCAUGCUUUCUUUCAUCUCUCCUUGGCCAUAUAAAUGCACAUAGGAUCUCCUAGAAGCUUUGGACCUUGUGACUGCUCAAGCUACACACCAAAGAUGUUAGUGACGUAUUUUUGUGCUUUUGGUUAGUGAAUAAAAAUAAGAAAAGCAAUAAUAUACAAUUCAAGCAUGCUUGGUAAUCUCCAACUAACUCACAAGGGAUCCUACCCAAAGGUAAAGAGCCAAUAUGCUUAUGAUCCUUGAGGCAAGAUGCAAAUGCAAUGUUAUGAUGCCAUGAGGGAUCUUAGGGUCAAAAUUGGGGUCUUAUAGAUGCCCCUAUUUAAGGUCAUUCUAGUCGGAGAGGUGAAGGUUAAAAUCUUCGUCUCGACGAGGUAGAAUGGGCUUAAAUAAUAACAAAGAUACGAAUUUUGGUCCCUAAGAGACCUCAUGAUGCAAAUGCGUGUAUGCAAAAAGUAAUAAUCUAUGGAGAUAUGUGUCCACAAAGAGAAAAGAAAUCUGGAGAAACUGACCAUCCAUAUGAGUAAUACACUCAAUGGGACAGAGACUCUGGGGAUUCUUAUGGGGAUACGAAAGGGCAUAAAAUGCGUGAGCAGGUAACGACUAAAGAUUUGCUGAGACACGAGAGGAAUUCCAUGAAAAUAAAUCAAUGGAAAGACUCGAGCUGACUCAGAAAUGCAUGUAUUGGGGAAUAUGCUAAUACAGCAAAAACUAUCCACAAAGGAUACUUCGGAUAAAAAUCCGGACUCAGAUGGGGAACAUCCACUAAGGGACUUCACUGGGAAAUGUCCAAACAUGACUCAUAUGAGGAAAUAACAGGAUGAGGUAUUACUGGCUACUGGGUAAUAAGCUCAAGGAGACAUGUGAUCAAAACACCGGUAUAAGGGUGAGAGAACAAUAUGCUCGGGGAGAAUGAAUAUCUAAGACCGGUAUGAGGGUGAUAGAUAUCAAACGUCCAAAAUCAUCUGAGGAAAGACCUAAAAAGGUAUAUUUUGACUCAGGAAAUCUGACUCCACAAGGGACAAAAGUCAUAAUAGGGAGCAGAAGGGAAGGAACACCGGUGAUACCGGUUACUGGGCAUAUAAUAGGUGACCGACCAAGGCGUGAAUUGGGGAAUAUUUCCAAGACACUCAUCAUCCAAAAGGAGGGCUAAAAAGCAAACUCAAUUUACAGGAUGGACAUUCGACUCCGCAGAAAGGGGAUACGAAUCUUACUCGACUGGGGAAGAACAAAAGACUCCAACUGAAGAGCGCAUGAGUUAUAUUAUCUAUUACCGUCAGAACGUAGAUAACAUACUCCCAUGGAAGAUUAUCCACAACCAAUUACUGGGUUAAUAAAGGAUAAAUCAACCGAAAGGAAAGGACAUCAGGAUACUAAAUACUAGGUAUAAAAUGAUGACCCAUCAAAGGGAGAAACGAUCAUUACCAGCCAAAGGGUGGAUGAAAGAUGCCUCGCUGGGGAUACAUUGACAAAGGCAAUGAUCCGGGAGAUAUAUCGCCGUUUACUGGGAGAUAUACUAGAAAGUGAAGGAAUAUCAAUACCGAAUAUUGGAUAAAGAUAACCGACGAAGAGGGGAUUACAUCUACCGAAUACUGGAUAGAAAACCACAGAAGAGUAACCUCCAUCGGUUAGGAUGAACAAAAAUAAGGUUAACUCUGCAAGGGGAUAAAAUGGGGUUUACAACUACCGGUAUGAGGGUAGAAGACCACGGAAAUAGGACUUACAACUACCGGUUACUGGGUAGAAGGCCACAGACUCCACAAAAAUAAGGUUAAUUUAUGUCCCUCGUAGUUUAACGUGGUGUGCUUGUUUAAUUUUUUUUGACUACUUUUUGUUUGUAUUUUAAUCGGUCUGAUCCUUUUUACUAGUCACUUUUUUUUUUCAAAAUUUGAUCAAAACCUGUAUCUUUUUGAGAAGUUUAUUCCGCGUCGAUUAUUUUAGUGCAUUCAAUUUAAUUUUUCAGGUAAUUUUGCGUUCGACUUUUAUUCUUUUUUUAUCCGUCCAUUUUUGUUUCUUUGUAAAAAAUAUUUAUAACAACUAAUUAGAAUUUUCUACAUUUUUAGUUUCGAUUUAAUUUUGUUUAUUUAACAUGGUUUGAUUUUGGUUAAAUUAAGUUAUUAAUUUUUUGCAAAUAACAAACUCAUUAUAAAAGCAUUGUUUUGGUUUUGUCUAAAAAAUAUAUAAUCUAAAGGAUGUGGCUAUGUGUUUUUUUAUAGGCUGAUAUCACCAAAGAGGUGAUGGCACGCGACCCCUCCCUUAGAUAUGAGGAUGCUUCAUUUUUGAGAUUUUAGAAGAAAAAACAGGAAUUUGCUUCCAAAUCUCUCUCUCUCUCUCUCUAAUCUGAAAGAGGAGUAUAAUUUGAAACUCACACACAAUCUCAUCAUAAACUCUUUAUAAAAUAUCUCAUUUUUUUAGAAAGAAAAGUCUCUCUCUCUCUCUCAUCAUAGUGUUUCUUUAUCUCCCUUUCUCUAUUUGCAGCAAAAAUAAAACAAAUCAUUAAAACAUGUCUUGAAAAAUACACUUCUCUCUCAUAAACAUCAAAACACUCACUAAAAACCUUCAUGUAAACCUCUAUUUAUCACCUUCAUAACUUCUUGCAACUUAUACUCCCCCUCACUAAACCAAAAUAACUUCAUACUCCUGCCACGAGGUCCAUCGUGCAAAACACUUUCCGACACCCCUUAACACACAAAAAACUUUUCCCUUCUUCCUCUUCCUUCCCGCAUUUAUCGCCAUCCAUAUUCAUUCACCUUUAACACCAUGAACCUUCAUGCAACAGCCACCCUUCAUUUUCCAUCUAUCGAACACCCUUCGCCUCCCUCCUCUCCGAGUAACGUAUCGAUCUUCAUCCCCCUGCACAAACAACAACCAAACCCCCAUCACUGCAAUACGCUAUAAAAAAACCGUUAAUCCACCAUUGACAAAACCACCACGAACCACCAUUAACCCUGUCGCCAAAGGUUGUUACGUUUUUCCAUUUAUUUUUAAUCAUGUGUGUUUGUUUUCUUUGUGUGUGAUAUUCUUUUGUUUUAAAAAUGGAAUGGAGAAGAUCUAUUUGUUUUGAUUAUGGUGUUUUAAAAGCUAGUUUUUGUUUUUGUCCAAAAGAUACAAAAAUUUGGUUAUAAAGAAAAAAGAGAAGAGAGUAGCGGGAGAAAACUGUGCGAGAGAGAGGGGGAGUUUUCUUUCUUAAUAAUAUUUUGUGUAAGUGUUGUUAAUUUUUCCUGUGAUCUGCGUUUGGACAAGGAAGAAGAUUUUUUUUUUCAAAAAGAAUUAUGUCUUGUUGCUGUUAUACUCUGAACAAAGAAGAAGAGGGAAUGACUUUGUUUUGACUUUUUCCUCCCCCCAAUAUUCCAUGUGUCAAUGUCUAAGUGGGGGGAGAUUUGUUUGGAAGAAAAAACUUUCUCUUUUAAUCAGAACCAAAAUACCCUUUUUUUCUUUCUUUCUUUCUUGUGAUUUUCAUUUUUUAUGUUUUAUUAUUAUUAUUAUUAUUAUAAUAAUUAUUAUUAUUAUUAUUAUUAUUAUUAUUAUUAUUAUUAUUAUUAUAUAACUAUUAUUUUUUAGUUAUUACUCUUAUUUUGAUUGUUUUUUUACUAUCCUUGAUUUAUCGUUCAUUAUUAUUCAACUAGUUAUUAUUGUUAAUCUUUAUUGAUAAUUAUUACUAUUGUUGUUAUUAUUUUUAAUUUUUUUUGUAAUUUAAUUAUUAUUAUUAUUGACUAUUAUUACUAAACAAUUAUUACUAAAAAACAUAAAUUAUUGUUUAUUUUUACUAUUAUUAUUAUUAUUAUUAUUAUUAUUAUUAUUAUUAUUAUUAUUAUUAUUUGUUCUUGAUUAUUAUUAUUAUUAAUCAUUAUUGUUCUUGAGUAAUAUUAUUAAUUAUUAUUGUGUUUAUUACUAAUUAUUGUUGUUUUUAUUGAUUAUUUUUGUUCAUUUAGAAUUAUUAUUGUUAUUAAUGAUAAAUAUUUUUAUUAUUAUUAUUUAUUUUAUCAUUAUUGCUAUUAUUACAAUUAUUAUUAUUGUCAUUUUAUUAUUUAUUUAAUUAAUUAUCUUAUUUUAAAAAAUUAACACAAAUAAAAAAAAUCAAUUUAAUCUACCGUCGGUUUUGCACAGAUGCAUAUCAAUUUUGAAGGUAAAAAUUCAAUUUAACUUCAGAAAUUGCUUACACGCAGAGUUUUAUUGACCGACCUCAGAUAGGAUGAUUCCUACAUGAAUCGCUUUACGAUUGCUUAACAUAGCGCUAAAUUCGUUUAGUUUUUUUUCUUCUUUUGUCGCUAAAUUUCUUUUAAUUUAAUUUUUUAUUUUUACUUCGAGUCCCUUGGCUUUCUCUAGGGCCUUCUUACAACGAGAUUCUUUUAUUUUUGCAAAUGUCUUUCAAAACUUGUAUUGUUUAAAUUAUUGUGUUGUAUCCCGAUUCGAUAAACUGUACGCCCAUUCCCGAAAAUAUGUAAUAAAUUGUUAACAAAUGAUUAAAAUCAAUCAUUUUAGAAGAAAAAAAAACAAAAACAACAAACACGGGAUCCAACGUCGAGUUUUUUCCCCAAAUCAAAUUUAAAUCGAAUACAAAGUCGAGUAUAUCCCCCGCCACAUCCAAAUUAUUUUCAUAAGUCAACUUCAAACACUUGAUCCAUCAUCAAGUCGUCCCCCUGUUUUUAGAAGCUUUUAUAAUAAAAAUGGAAGAACUUAUUAGGUUUAGACUUUCUCUGUUUUGAAUGUUAUGAUAUUGUUGUAGAGUUCCAUGUUCAAACAUUCAAAUUUCAUAUUAAAAUACAAUAAUUACUAGAAUUAGGUCAUUUCUCUUAUAGACGGAAAAUAUUCCUUGGGUAUCGACCUUCUCUUUCCCGAUUAUUUAGACACUGCAGUAGAGCUCCCUGUCUGAAUAAUUGUCUUCCAUUAAUGAACUUUGACCUAAUUUUGACACAUUUUUAUAACAAACUUUUGGAUGAAAAUAGAGUGAUUAGGCUUUAGCCUCUUCCUUUUCGGGCAUCUGAGUACUGCAGUAGAGCUUCCUGCAUGGAUGGAUAUAUCCACUUAAAAUCAACUCAAACCAAUCAAACUUGAUUUCUGCCCUUGUGCGACCCCGAAAACAUUUUAAGAAAAGAGUAUGCAAUAUCCAUUUUGAUGCGAAAUAAACAAAGACUUCAACCUCCAAGAGCGAGUAGCAAGUAAAGGUUUAAUCGCUCAAAUGUGAUCCAAGUAUCACACUCUUUAAAAGUAAUCCAUCAAGUAGUUCUCUUUGAGAAGGACUAUGUAUGCAUUGAGUUCUUCAUACCACCUAAAGAUACGUAGGAGCAGGAUUGAAAAAUCUUGCCAAACACAUUAAUGUUAAAAAACCCUAAGUCUUUUCUUUCUUUCUUUCUCUUUUCUCACUCGAUAAGUAGAAUAUCACAAACGAUAUCACGCUAACACUCUUGCACAAAACUAACUAAAUGGGUACCAUUAACUACGAUGAAUGUGAUGGGUGUUAAUACCUUCCCCUUGCAUAACUGACUCCCGAACCCGAUUCCGUUGCGACGACCAUUUCUUUUUGUUUUUCAUGAGUUUUAUCGAUAUUUCCCCUUUCCCUCUUUGGGAAUAAAUAAAGUUAGAUGGCGACUCUGUUUUGUUUAUAUUUCGAGUGUUCAUUACGCUCGAGUAUUUUAUGCAUCGUGACAGCUGGGGAAAUUUUUCUUCUAAGCGAGUUCACCCUAGGUUAGUUUGUUUUUUGUUGGAGUGUUUACUUUUAUUUGCUUGUGUGCUUCUUAUUUGGUUUACCUAUAUCUGCCUUUAAUCAUCUGUAUUUCCAAUUGUUGCAUCAUUGAUCAUAUGGUGACAUUAGAACUUUCUGGAUUAUUAUCAUUUGUGUGAGGAAAAUCUCUAUACCUGAGCUAUGAGAAAAAAUUAAGUUAGGAUGGUGGUUGGGUAGUAUUGACCUGUGAGACAUCAAACUCGUUAGGAUGAUGCGAGAAUCUCACUCAGAUGAGAUCCCUCGAAAGUAUUAUUGUCUUACGAUUAGUCGUUCUGACGUUGAUAUUUUCGACCUCGACCUAUGAUUCUUAGGACCUUUGUAGAAACCCAAACCUAUGGCUUUUAGAACUGAUAGUUGUGUAGUGUUGACCUACGAGACUUAGGACUCGUCGGGUUAAUACAAAAGCCUCACUCAGAAUAUAUCAUUUUGAGGAUAUUAUUGUCUUACGAUUAGUCGUUCUGGCGAUAAUAUCUUUAAAUGGGAUCCAUGACUCUAGGAAUUAUGUUUAGAACCGUGGAGACGAUGGUUAUGUAGUGUUGACCUGUAAGACUUAGGACUCGUUAGAUAAAUACGAAUACCUCAGGUAGAAUAUAUCAUCUUUAAGAUAUUAUCGUCUUACGAUCUGUCGUUCUGAUGAUAAUAUUCUCGAAUAGGGUAUAUGACUCUAGGAACCUUUUUAAAUCCUAGAGUCUACAUGUGGUUGGAUUUCCUAUUCCUGGAACAUUUUCUCCAUGAAACAAUUAAUCAUAAUGUUCCAAUGAUCACAUACCCAACUGUACAUACAUAAACAUAAAAAUUUCAUGAUUAUAACACAUUUAGCAUGUGCCCAUUUUAAAGGAAUCUAAAGACUCUAUUGAUUGCAGGCAUUCAGAAGACUUAGGUAGCAAUCCAAAAAGUACUUAUUCAUUCAAGUUCAGGAAUCCAAAGCUAGGAUUUAUCAAGGGGUUGAUCUCAUACGUGAAAAAAAAUUAGAAGGAACAACUUUUGUGUUAAGUAUGAUGACUUGUUGAUUAUCAUGAACACCGAGGUGGAUGCUUGGGCCAUUUUUACUUUGACACAAUUCUAUGACCCUCCCUUGAGGUGUUGCACCUUCUAGUUGGCGCCAACACUGGAAGAGUUCUCACAUCCAACUAAUUAAGCGUCUAGGAAUGAAGCAGAUUUAUUGAUUUCGAAACAAAACAAAAAAUAACAAUGUCUUACUCUUGUACCAUCAAUUCAAGUAUGGGAAUUUUUGUAGGUUUUCCUUGUACGUAAACGUGUUUUUCGUGUCCAAGAGCAUGGAGCACGCCAACUAUGUCUGAAAAGAAACAUGAAUGUAGUUAUAUAUUAUAUUUUAUAUUAUUGUAGAGUAACUUGUGUUUAAAACUACGAGAGAGAAUAUUAUUGUCUCCAACUCUUUAUGAAAUUGUUUCUAUACUAACAAAUUCAAAAUAAUUGUGUGAAAUUAUGGAUCUGGAGUCUUAAAUUUGUUACAUCAGUCACUCGCAAAAACCAUGUCAUUUUUAAGCCUUUGAAUGAUUUGUAUGUUUGCAAAAGAGUUCUCUGAAGGAAAAAAAUAGCAAUAAAAUAUUGAAAUUAAUAAUUUUAUAAAGAAAAAAAUAAUAAUGUUAAAUAUUUAGAAUAUAAAAGUAUAUUUUGUUAACAACAAAUGCAAUAUUUGGGAUAAAGAGUUAAUACCUUCUCAUCUAACAAAAUGGUUUCUACGAAUAUUUGUUGUUCAUCGUUUAGCAGAUUAUAAACGUCUCACAAUCGAAAGACUCUAACUCGAAGUAACCAAUCAUCAUGAUUGGUGUUAAGAUCUAAGAUUGAAUUUUCCAUUGUUGAUUAUCUGGCAAUAUGGAUAUAUAAUGAAUCUAAUAGUUGUUAUGAUGGGGUAUUUAAAAGUUAACAAAUUGUUGUUUAUAUAUGUUUAUAGUUUUUAAACGCCUAAAUGAAUGUAAUUCUGAUAAUAAUAAAUGAAUAUUUUUAUUGUCAUUAUUUCAUGUCUUUUUAUGUUUAUAGUUCUUAAUCGGUUAAAUGAAUGUAAUUGUGAUAAUAAUAAAUGAAUAUUUUUAUUGUCAUUAUUUCAUGUCUUAUAUUUUUAAAAAUAUGGUAUAAAUCUUUAUAAUAAUAAUAAUAAUAAUAAUAAUAAUAAUAAUAAUAAUAAUAAUAAUAAUAAUAAUAAUAAUAAUAAUAAUAUACGUCUUUAUUAAGGUAUUUAUAAAGAGAGAAUAUUUUAUUUUUGUAACAUUUUAUUAUGUGUGGUUCAAUUUUCAGUAAUAAUUCAAAAUUUAAAUAUUUAUUAUUUUUAUUAUUGAAUUUAACUGUGAACAACUUUAAAUAUAGUUUAUUGUAAACAUUUUAUCAAGAUUCGGUUUUUAAAUAUAAUUCAGUAAUGAUUAAUAUAAUAAAAGAAUAAUAUUUCUAAAUUAUAAUGCAAUUAGAAUUCAAUUAAUGAUUAAUUAUAACAAAAUUAAAUUAAUCAAUUAUCUAGCAGAUAAGUAAACAAGCGUAUUAAUCAAUUUUGAUCAAGCUUAAACCAUUAUAAAAUUUUAUUAUAUUCACAUUCAACCAAUUAAGUGUCUAGGAAUGAAACAGAUUUAUUGAUUUGGAAAAAAACAAAAAAUAACAAUGAAACCAAGCUACAUACAUGUAUAUAAAAAACUAAAGUAUAGAACAUCAAAUCCAAAAAUAGAAACAGUGUAAAUAACCAUUCCCCAAGAAACUGAAGUGUCUAAAGCAACAAGUUUAUAACAAUAGCAAUGAGAGCAGGGAAAGUAGCAACGAUAGCAGUGGCCGAACCCGGUGAUGGAGGAGUUGCAUCAGGCUGAGUUGGAGAAGAAGGGGAUGGUGUUCCUCCGCUGGUAGGUGGAGUAGGAGAACAAUAGCAAUGAGAGCAGGGAAAGUAGCAACGAUAGCAGUGGCCGAACCCGGUGAUGGAGGAGUUGCAUCAGGCUGAGUUGGAGAAGAAGGGGAUGGUGUUCCUCCGCUGGUAGGUGGAGUAGGAGUGGUUCCAGAUGAAGGAGGAGUAGGUGAAGGAGGAGUAGAUGAAGGAGGAGUAGAUGAAGAAGAUGUUGGAACUUUAAUGGUUAGCUUUUGACCGCCAGAUUGACAAUGGGAUGAGACGGUACAUAUGAAAUAGAAAUCACCAGUUCUGUUAAGAGUCACUCUUGCUGGUGAUGUUGUUAUUAUGUCAUUUGUAUUUUGAUUCACAUUGCAGUUGUCAAAGUCUGCCUUGUUGGUUG